Molecule: ribosomal RNA, 333 nt
Filed under: uncultured bacterium
Lineage: Bacteria
Description: bacterial SSU rRNA
Rfam family: Bacterial small subunit ribosomal RNA
Source: RNAcentral
GCUCAGAUUGAACGCUGGCGGCAUGCUUUACACAUGCAAGUCGAACGGCAGCAUAGGAGCUUGCUCCUGAUGGCGAGUGGCGAACGGGUGAGUAAUAUAUCGGAACGUGCCCUAGAGUGGGGGAUAACUAGUCGAAAGACUAGCUAAUACCGCAUACGAUCUACGGAUGAAAGUGGGGGAUCGCAAGACCUCAUGCUCCUGGAGCGGCCGAUAUCUGAUUAGCAAGUUGGUGGGGUAAAAGCCUACCAAGGCAACGAUCAGUAGCUGGUCUGAGAGGACGACCAGCCACACUGGGACUGAGACACGGCCCAGACUCCUACGGGAGGCAGCAGU